Long non-coding RNA from Fundulus heteroclitus (mummichog), 548 nucleotides. RefSeq lists it as uncharacterized. The transcript is spliced from 4 exons. NCBI's taxonomy places the organism in Eukaryota, Metazoa, Chordata, Actinopteri, Cyprinodontiformes, Fundulidae. The record is from RefSeq and is a predicted model, not a curated record.
AAAGAGGAACUGUUAGAACUCCUCAACAAGGAAGCUUGAUCCUCAUUUAGUUUCAGCCCUGAACCAAACCUUUCGUUGAUACCUGCAGAUUUCUCCAUGGAGGGUUUGCUUGUCAAGAUACUCUGUCUGCUGUAUUACAGCAUCACAGUCUUCUUUGUGCUCAUUCUUUUGCGGAGAAUAGGGGUUGAAAUCCAGAGAUUUCAAAGGAGUGACAGCAACGCUGUAUACCUUUGUUGCAGCUUGUUAUUGUAUGGCAUCCCAAUGCUUGGUAUCAUUCUGUAUGCAAUCAGUGUUGCCACGCCAGAUUCAACUCACAUAGAGCUGUGAGCCACCCUGGUCGCAGAUGAUCAAAGGAGGAAAGAAAGGUUUACCUACCCGUCUUCAGAAAUGAAGCUGAUGUCCGAAGCUGUGUUCUGCAUCUUUUAAUUUAUUUUAUGUGUGAAAUAAAGCUGUGUGGCAAUUUUCUAUCUGAUGUUGCGUAGAUAUAGUCCUAACUUUCAAGGUUUUCUUGUUCCGUCUGAAGAUUAUUAAAGGUGUCUGGAAAAGGC